Molecule: small nucleolar RNA, 131 nt
Filed under: Procavia capensis (Cape rock hyrax)
Lineage: Eukaryota; Metazoa; Chordata; Mammalia; Hyracoidea; Procaviidae
Source: RNAcentral
GCGUACAUUUUAGUGGUCUGUCUUCUUUUAUAAAUGUAAGCAGCCUUAUUUCUUUGGUACCACGCAAGGAAUCGAUGGUUAAUCAGCAGUACCUAUAAAAACAAAAAACCGACACCCACUACUGUUGAGUU